GGAUCGGUAGCUCAGGUGGUUAGAGCGCACGCCUGAUAAGCGUGAGGUCGGAGGUUCAAGUCCUCCUCGACCCACCA
RNAcentral lists this transfer RNA (77 nucleotides) under Phaeobacter inhibens. Its description in RNAcentral is "tRNA-Ile". It matches the Rfam family "tRNA". Rfam says of the family: Transfer RNA (tRNA) molecules are approximately 80 nucleotides in length. Lineage: Bacteria; Pseudomonadati; Pseudomonadota; Alphaproteobacteria; Rhodobacterales; Roseobacteraceae. The record is from RNAcentral.